GGUCGGUUAAGGUGGAAGGCUGGUUAAACCGUUUGGUUUUCGACCACUAGGACCCGGGUUCGAUUCUCGCAUUGGACA
This 78-nucleotide transfer RNA is filed under the name Cordylochernes scorpioides. RNAcentral describes it as "tRNA-Glu". The record is from RNAcentral. Lineage: Eukaryota; Metazoa; Arthropoda; Arachnida; Pseudoscorpiones; Chernetidae.